GCCCCAAAUGCUAAUAAAAAUUAAACAAACCAUCACCACAUCAGUCCAACAAACUGCAAAGGAGAUUGCGUCGAGCAAACUACAAUAUUUUUCGGCCAGAUCUAUGCAAAAAGGCAAUCUAUGCAUUUUUCGGCCAAAAAGGCUACAAUAUAUACAAAAUAUACAAAAAGGCAAGAGACAAAGAGAAGUCACCGGAAAAGAGUAAUUUUCGGCCAGAUCUAUGCAUCAAAUAUCAAUGACGAAAAUAUACCAUUUUUCAUAGCCAAAAACGAAUCAAAGGGCGAUGGGGAGGGGACUGCUGCGCUGGUGGCGGCGUUGGAGGUUCACCGGACAUCUGGCGGUUAAAUCCGUCGGCGGCAGUGUGAUGGGGAAAGGGUAAAGAGAGGCGGCGGGUUGGGAAGCUCGCGGAUGUGUUGUUUUGGUGCCUCGCCGGUCAUCACUUCCGGCGACGCAAGGCAGCGACGAGCGGGGAGACAGUGGCUUUCCAGUGGCUGGUAAUGGGAGACGAAGGAGGGAGAAGAUAGAGGGAGAGAAAGGUGGUGGUGGAUCGCCGAGCUCGGCGGUGGAGCAGCCAUGGAUGUGCAGAAAAGAGAAGAUGCUUAGUUUUGAAAGAGAGAGACGUUUGAGAGAGAAAAUAAAUCUAAUGUAUGUGUAUAUGUUUUGUAAUUAAAAUUCACCACCUCCUCUUUACCCAAAAAAUAAGAGGUUAAACCUUCUUGUUCCCUUAAAAACUUAUUUUAGUGCAAAAUUAUUAACCAAAAGAUUAUUUCGUUCUUUUAACUAACGUAUAAAAAUUAUAUUCAGGGGAUAAAAAUACUAAUCCGUCACUUCGAAUGUUAUCUUUUAAAAUGUGAUAAAUAAAUAUAUAAACUUAAAUUUGCAGAUCAUAUUAAAUAAUAUAUAAAAAUAUAAAUAUCGAUAUAUAAUUACAAAAAAUAUAAGUAACAUAAUUAUCUUGAAAAAUAUAUUAUGCUAUAAAUAAUUAAAAUUAUAAUAUGUAAAAAAGAAUUGCAGCGUUAUGUUAUGUACAUAUGCAAAUGACUGUGUAAAAAUAUUAAAAUAAUAAUAGACCGAUAAAAAUCUUAAAAUUUAUAAAAUUAAAGAUAAUUAUCAAUAAAUCAUGUAAAAUAAAAAAUAUGACGAUAAACGAAUAAACAGUGUAAAAUAAUGAUGAUUAUCAAUAAUUUAUUAAUAAUUGUAAAAAAUAUAUGAAAAAUUGCAUAUUGUGUCAUUUAAUGAUCAAGGAGCCUAAAGGCGUUAUUUUUAAGUAUGGAGAACCAAAAUAGGGUGUCAACAGUUUGUCCCUUUUCGUUUGAAGAUAAUGUAAAACUAUUCAAAUGAAAACGUAGUCAAUUUUUCUUGAAAAAAUAUUAUUUUUAUCAAAAAUUCGAGUAAACUCCAAUUUAGAAUUGCUAUCUCAAAAUGUCCUAAUUUAGGGUGGACGAACUCAAUGUAUACUCAAAUUUUAUGCCUGCAAAAAUUUAUAAAACUGAAAACAAUAGAUAAACGAGUAACUAAGCUUGAUUUUUUUUUCAAGAAAUUAGAAAAAUGACAUGUAAGCUUUAACUAAUGUAAAGAUAAAUAAAUAAACUCAUUGCACAAUUUUAACCGAAUACAAAAAAAAUAUUCAACUGAAGACAGACACACAUAAAGAUCUUAUUAGAGGGCAUACUAUUUCAAAAUGUUCUAUUUUAAGUUGGACGGACUCAAUUUAUCCUCAAAUUAUAUGCUUGCAAAUGCAUCAAUUUAAGAAGUACUGUUCAAUAAACACAAAUAAAAUAUGUGUGCAAAGGCAAAGAUGACAUGCAAUGCUUAAAUGGUGAAAAAUGCAUUACGAUAUAUGCGUACAGUGUUUAAAAAAGAAAAUAAAUGCAUUGCGAUAUGCGUUAGCAAAGGCAAAGAUGACAUGCAGUGCUUAAAUAGUGAAAUAAAUAUAUUGCGAUAUUUGCGAGGUAUGCAGUGCUUAAAUAAUAAAAUGCAUUGUGAUAUGAGCCAAUAAAGACAAAGAUGACAUGCAAUGCUCAAAUAAUAAAAUAAAAUGCAUUGCGAUGUGCAAAUAAAGAUAAAGAUAGCGUGCAGUGCUUAAAGGAUAACAUAAAAGCAUUGCGUUGUAUGCAAAUAAAGAUAAAACUAACAUACAGUGCUUAAAAUGAUGAAAUAAAUGCAUGCAAGUAAAGGGAAAAAUAAACUAUAGUUCUUAAACUAUAAAAUAAAUACAUUGUAAUGCGUGCAAGUAAGGCCAGAAUAAAAUGCGAUGCUUAGAUGAUAAAAUAAAUGCAUUGUGAUGCGUGCAAGUAAAGGCAAAAAUAGAAUGCGGUGCUUGAACGAUAAAAUAAAUGUAUUGCGAUGCGUACAAAUAAAGACAAAGAUAAAAUGCAGUGCUUAAAUGAUAAAAUAAAUGCAUUGCGAUAUGUGUCAGCAAAGGCAAAAACAACACGCAGUGUUAAAUAAUAAAAUAAAUGCAUUGUUAGAUGUGUAAAUAAAGACAAGAAAAAUAUACAGUACGUAAAUAAUAAAUGAUAAAAUAAAUACAUUGUGAUGUAUGCAAAUAAAGAUAAAGAUAGCAUACAGUGCAAAAAAAAAUAAAUGAAGUGUGAUAUGUGCAAGUAAAGACAAGCAAGCAUAAAUAUUAAAUUGAAAAAAACAUACAUAACUGUCUUGUGGAGGGCAGACUGGCCCAAUUAUCCUAUUUUAAGGUGGACAAAUCUAUGCAAAAAUAAUUAUUGAGCAAAAAAUUAUUUGGGGAUGAAAGUGCUCAUAUAUCCUCGAUGUUGCUUUCAAAUUUGUCCAGUAUCGAGCUGUGAGGUGCUAGGAGAUGCAGGAUUGUUUACUUAAUGGGGAGAAAGAAUGAUUAUGAGGUUGUGGUGACCGAACUUUGCAUAGAGCUUCCUACUUAUCUCGACUGUUACAAGAAUCAGGUCAUUUUUUUUUUUAAAUGAGAAUAAUAGGAUAAAUUUUUUAGGCGGUUCUCAAAAUUUACCCAGUGUAUGAUUUAUGCUGAUAUGUCUUGUUCUAAGGAAACUAAAAAAAUGAUUUUGCUAUUGUAGAUUGAAAAGAUGCAUGACGUCUCCGAUUAUUUACAGGAACUGAUGCUGAUUGCCGUUUUCGAUUGUCUACGAAGAUUAAGGCCCUCAACUAGUGAGGUGACUGACAUCUAAUAGCCUUUCGACUGACGAGGCUAUUGAAAUGUAAAAAGGCUCUAGACUGCAAAACAAAUGUAAUAGGCUCUCGACUGGAUGGACUAUAAAAAAUGUAAAAAAUAUUUAAAAAUGAGCGCCUAACUAAAAAAUAAAUAUCGAUAUUUAAAGGCAUAUGCUUGAAAGAAAAAGUCAAAUACUUAUAUUUCAAAAUUGAACGCCUUCAAAUAAAAAUAGAAAUACAUGUAUGUGAAAGUGGACACCUUAAAUGAAAGGUAAAACAAAUGCCCAUAUAUGAAUGUGGGCAUCUUGAAAAAAGAAAGAAAGAAUUUUUUAUUUUCUUGAUAAAAAGUGUUGAAUGAGGAAGAAGACACGAUCAUGUCACGGCUUUAGUUGGUACCAAUAAAUAGUAGUAUGCAUAAAAAUUCCCUCAUCUCUUUCCCAUCUAACUGAGAUCGACUUCAGGAUAACUCCUAUAGUUUCAAGUGGUAUCUUAGACACGCCUAAGUAUAGACAAGAUUUGUUCAUCUUACUUCAAACAGUGAUUUUACACUAUGCUCAUUCUCAUGUUUCAAGUGCCCUCUCUAGAAAGAAAGUCUCAUUUCGCACAUAUUUGAGUAAUUUUCUUUUUGAAUUUAGGGACGUCUCAAGAAAUACACUCAUGCUCAAAAAGAAAUUCAAUGUAUGAAAUUAUGAUACCAUAGGCUUAACCUUCAUAUAAGUAUCAACUAAUGUAAGAAAACUUGGAUUGGAAUCACGUAGGACUUGUUAUUGGCUUGUAAUAUAGGCUUGAAGAUAGGUAGGAUGAUAGUUGGGAUAAAAGUGACUUAUUACUCAAUGAGCAUUACACUGUAUUUGUGCUUAUUAUUGCACUUUGAUGCAUCAUCUUCUUUGUCGUGCUUUGUUGCCCCUUAUUUUGUAUUUGCUUACUUCUUUUGAAUUUUGCGUUGGAGUUUUUUUCCCUUUUUUUUUCAAGAAAAUAUAUAUUUUUGUUUUUCUUUCUUUUCUUUUUUCUUUUUGGUAGGAAUUUGCUCCUUUUGAAGUCGUUUUUCAUUUUUGUUCAUCUGAACAAUAUAUUCUUUGCAUUUUUCGUCUUUGAUCUUGAAUCUUCGUCCACAAUUUGCACGUAUUUAGUGCGCUCAAAGAGGUAGGGCCAAGAGAGGAUAGUGCAUGUAAGCACUUAGAAAGGUAUAUGCUCAAAUGCGGUUAUACAAAGAAAAAGUCUUAGGCUCAAAAGAGGGAAUGUUAGGGAUUAAUGUCAUUUGAUGGGAUGUAAAAGGCUCAAUCGGAUAAAAAAAGGCCUAUGAUCCUUUCCUAAACCAAGUGCAACUCAGAAUUUCGCCUUAACAGACAUUAAGGUUAAGUUCUAGAUCAACAAUGCAGUAUAAUGAAUUAAACUAAAGCUCGCCACACAUACGCAUGAAACUAUGAGGUUGACUUUGUUCUUGUCUUAGAUGUAUGCAAGAGAAUUUUUUCAAGAAUUACUCAAGUGUGAUAAAAGGUACCAAAGAAACCUAUUGUUUACCAUAAAGUCGGCCCUUUUCAUCAUACCCAUUUGUUCUUUCUUAUGCACACUCCUAACUGUAUUGACAUCAACUAAGUCAAAAUUAUUUUUUUAUUUAAAAAAUGGGACUGAAUUCAAAAUAAGGAUUGCCUACGUAUCUUGCGAAAACAAGAAUCAGGUCUGCGUAGUUCAGUUAAAUUUGUGAAUUUAUAUGUACAAUGCAUGAUUGUAAAAAAAAUGAUGGUCAUUCUUAAAAAUAAUAUGAAAGAUGAUUAGAAGAGAACUGUUUUUAACAUCAAAAUUGUUCUGAUCAAAUGAUUGAGAAAAUAGAUGUCAAGCAUGGGGAGGGCUUUGACACAACUUCAGUAUGCUGAUAAGAUUGAAAAACUCAGUCAAUGAAGAAAUUAUAAAAUUAUUUUGCUGCAGUUGGCAAAAUUGUUAUGAUUGAAAGAAUAUUGAACCCUCGAUUUUGAAAGUGAGGAUCGAGAAGUCAUAAAUUUAAUGGUUUACGAUGUUCGAAAAAAAUUAGGUAUUCUUGCACGUAAAUCGCCUGAGACUUUAGAAGUAGGCCGACUAGGCACUAAUAUCAAUGAAAUUUGGAUUUGAGGAGAUAUUAAAUUGUGCUCUUGAAGGCUUUUGGAGAGCGUCUUUGAACUGUUUCAGAAAAUUGUCCUAAUUUAAAUACCGAAGAAAUUAUUUUGAAACAGUGAAGAGAUCGAACCCUAAUAUAGGACUGCCUACGUAUCUUGUCAGGACAAGAAUUAGAUUAAAACGUAGUUCAAACCUAUACGCAACUAUCGACAAUGUUGCUAAGGUGCAUCUUUUAAUUGAUUCGCUAUGCAAAACAAAGGUUAUCUCACUAAAGUAUAAUCAAUUUAGAGCAAAUAAAUAUGUACAGACACAAUAAUCCUUCAAAUGUGUAUAAAGACUAUAAUAAUAUGUCACUCGGGUCGUGAACCCUUCAAACAUUUGGACAAAAUUGACUAACAAUGCAUGUACCUAAAAAGGUGAUAUUGUAGCUCUAUUCUAUGCUGACUAAGAAUGGGUAAAUACAAACUUGAAUUUUCUAUAUGAGAAGGCACGUAGUUCCACGACAAUAAAAUUCCCGCUCACCCCAUGUGUACGCCAAUUCUCUAAAAUAAGGUGAUUUAAAAUUUUUUGAGAAAGUACAAUGUACAAUCCGCGUGUACAAUGUGUGUAAGUGUCAAUUUUUCAAAAUGAAGGAAAUAUGAACGGAAUGACAAUUUAUAUAAAGCGAUAAACAAAUAAACAAUCUAUAAAAUAAUAACAAAUAAAUAAUUUAAGCCAUAUACAACAACAACAAUAACAAGCCCAGUGUAUUCCCAUAUAGUAGGGUCUGGGGAGGGUAAAAUGUACGCAGACCAUACCGCUACCCCCGAAGAAGUAGAGUAUUAAAAAAAUUACAAAUAAAUAAUUUAAGCCAUAUACAACAACAACAACAAGCCCACCAGAGUCACCACCAGAGUCGCCAAAUUGUCAUACCCGAUUUUUACCUAAGGUCAAAACGAGCACGACAUUAUGGACUCAAAAAGAAUUAACUAUAUAUAGAGUCGCCACCUAAUUUUUAAGGAAAAAUAGGAAACCUAUUUAUUUGUUUAACAAAUAUGACUUUAAUUAAUCUACGAAAUCAUUUUAAAUUCUAGGUAAGAGUUCAAAUGAUUUCAAAGGGAAGAGGUUAGACACCCUUCAGAAUCCACAAAUGUGGUUCUCGACCAGACUUAGGUUUAUUAAUAGGGAAGAGAAAAAAUCAAUGUUUAUAAAUACAAAUAUACAAUGCGUAUGUUAUCAUAAAAUAUAUAUAAACAAAAUAUAUAACUAUGUAUGUAAAGACAAUAGAAUAAAGAAAAAUUAUUUUAAGGAAAAAAAAACUACGUAAUAUUUAUUGAUGUAAAAGAUGUGAAUUAUUUGAUUAAAUAUAUAAAUUAAUUUUAAUAUAAAUAUUAAAGGCCUAAAUUUGCCUAACGUAUGAUGAGAAUCGCAUAAAAAAUUAAAAAUAUCAAAAAAUUAUAUUAAAGAAAAAAAAUAUGCAAUAUCUUUCAAUGUAUGGAUUAAUUAGUUAAGUAUCUAAAUUAAUUUAAUUUUUUUAAUAUAAAUAUUAACGGCCUAAAUUUACUUAAACGCGUGGUGAAUAUUUGUAUAAAAGCAUUCCAGUCCAACACCGCAAAAAAUAAAAUUUUCACUAUAAUCACUAUUUGUACAAGUGUAAGAAUAUAAAAUACAAACAUAAAAAUUAAAAAUUUCUUUGCAUGCCAUUCCCGAUAAAUAUUUCCAAUAACCUGUAUAAACACUUGAAGUAAAAUGUUAAUAACAAAUAAACAACUAUCAAAAUAAAUUGAGAACGUAUGUGUGCAUAUAUGUAUAAAAAAAUAUAAUUUUUCGUUAAAGGUGAGUACAGAUUAAAUUUCAAAUAUGACAUAGCUACGAAGUGGUUGCUUUAUUAGCCGUUCUAAAUCGUUUUGUCAAGAUACGAAUCAUAAAAUUUUUUGCAUUGUUAUAAAAAUUUCGUCAUCAUCCAAAUUUAUUUAUUUUAUUACGUAUUUAUAUACAUAAUAUCCGUCUUUUUAUUUGUGCAGGCCUAAAAAAUUGAUGAAAAAUUUCUUCAUCGGCCAUAUGUCGGUCCUUAAUAUAAAAUAAUAAGUUUGAUGAAAUAAAAUUCAUCUUUUAUAAUAAGAUGGAUUUAAAUAUGCAGAUGGAGAGAUAAUUUUAUUGACCAAAAAAUAAUGAAAAAUAAUAAAAACUUUAUAUGAUAUUGGUGAAUAAUUAGCAAUUCAAACGUAAUACUUUACAUGGAGUAACAAAUCAGCUGCAGUAUAGGAUCAAAACACUAACUAUGAUAACGAGGAGAGCAAGUAUAACUUGGCCAAGAAAGUUCAAAAAAAUAACUUAAAAAUUAAACAGCUUUCUGGAACUAAACAACAAUAAUGACAAUCAGCAAACCCAACUUAAAUGUAUUGGUAUUAACGUGCAAACAUAGAAACAGAUGAAAUACUUUAAACAAGAACUAAACCAGCAUUUUUUUUUUAAAAGAUGGUACAAAAAAAAUAAUUAAAAAUAAAAGGUGCAUGAACCGAUAAAUAUCAGCAAAUAGCUACAGACCAAAUAAAACAUUUAACAACUAUAUUUAGUCAAGAAAAAUAGUCAAUAACAAGAAGAAUAAUGCAACAAUGUUAACAACAAUAACGGUCGGUCAAUGUAAAAAAAAAUGCUAAAACGAUGCCCCAACUGCUAAUAAAAAUUAAACAAACCAUCAACACAUAAGUCUAACAAACUGCUAAGGAGAUUGCAUCGAGCAAACUAAUGAUAUCCCAAGACUACAAUAUAUACAAAAAGACAAGAGACAAAGAGAAGUCACCGGAAAAGAGUAUUUUUCGGCCAGAUCUGUGCAUUAAAUAUCAAUGACGAAAAUAUACCAUUUUUCAUAACCAAAAACGAAUCAAAGGGCGAUGGGGAGGGGACUGCUGCGCUGGUGGCAGCAUUGGAGGUUCGCCGGCUGUCCGUCGGUUAAUUCCGGCGGCGACAGUGUGAUGGGGAAAGGGUAAAGAGAGGCGGCGGAUAGAGGGAGGCAAGGCAACGACGAGCGGGGAGACAGUGGAUUUUCAGUGGCUGGUAAUGGGAGACGAAUGAGGGAGAAGAUAGAGGGAGGGAAAGGUGGUGGUGGUGGUGGUGGAGGAUCGCCGGAGCUCGGCGGUGGAGCAGCCAUGGAUGGUGCAGAAAAGAAACGAUGCUUAGUUUUGAGAGACGUGAAUUUGAGAGAGAGAAAAAGAUCUGAUGUAUGUGUAUAUGUUUUGUAAUAAAAAUUCACCCCCUCCUCUUUCCUAUAAUAAAAAAGAUGACCCCUUUCUUUACCCAAAAAUAAAAGAUUAACCUACUUGUCCUCUUAAAAUUCAUUUUAG
This 8555-nucleotide long non-coding RNA is filed under the name Capsicum annuum. RNAcentral describes it as "long non-coding RNA (CANN_LNC000876)". The record is from RNAcentral. Lineage: Eukaryota; Viridiplantae; Streptophyta; Magnoliopsida; Solanales; Solanaceae.